AAAUAGAGACGAAUUAGGAACUGACACCUAGCUUUCUCUUAAACAAAGAUGUAGACUGCACCACAGGGGAUAAUUUUCCAUUUUAAUCCGAACAGCACCUCUGCCCCCCAUUCUCUCUCUCUCUCUCUCUCUCUCUCUCACUGAAAAGCCAUCUGAUUCUCUCACCGUAAACCCUCUCAUUCUCUCAUACUGAAGCAUCACGAUUCACGAAUCAAUACUGAAAAAACAUAUUGUUUGAAGGAUUUUUCAGCCCCAGUUUCGGUUUUCAAGUGGGUUUUGGUUUGGCUUCGAUUUACCAUUGUUCGCACAUUUGGCACAGUCAACACCAUGAGCGAUGGACAAUCAAUGCUAAGAGUCGAGCUAUACUUGAAAUACCAGUUUGAAGGUUGAAGGUCAUACAAAGAACAAUUGCCCAUCGAUCGGGGAUCUUGGAAAUAUCAAUGACAACAUAUCACAACGAGUUGAUAUUGAAGAACGUUUCACAUCCGGUGACUUUGGAGCUACAAGUAACCAAGCCCAAGCAAGAAGAGCUGCUAAUGAACGUGACCAAUAAUCUGAUUUAUUUGUAGUAGAGAGGUCUUCUGCCAGUGUUUGAAGUUGUAUGGACUUUAUAUUCGCCAAACAUCUUGUUAAAUGAUGGUUCACUUGAAAGUAGAGAUUAUGAUUUGCAUAAGAAACCCAUAUUAAUAGAUAAUUUUUGCCAGGUUCUUA
Long non-coding RNA from Carya illinoinensis, 711 nucleotides. RefSeq lists it as uncharacterized. The transcript is spliced from 5 exons. NCBI's taxonomy places the organism in Eukaryota, Viridiplantae, Streptophyta, Magnoliopsida, Fagales, Juglandaceae. The record is from RefSeq and is a predicted model, not a curated record.